CCUACGGGAGGCAGCAGUGGGGAAUAUUGCACAAUGGGCGAAACCCUGAUGCAGCGACGCCGCGUGAGUGAAGAAGUACUUCGUUAUGUAAAGCUCUAUCAGCAGGGAAGAAAAUGACGGUACCUGAGUCAGAAGCCCCGGCUAACUACGUGCCAGCAGCCGCGGUAAUACGUAGGGGGCACGCGUUAUCCGGAUUUACUGGGUGUAAAGGGAGCGUAGACGGCUGUGCAAGUCUGGCGUGAAAGGCGGGGGCUCAACCCCCGGACUGCUCUGGAAACUGUACGGCUGGAGUGCAGGAGAGGUAGGUGGAAUUUCUAGUGUAGCGGUGCAAUGCGUAGAUAUUAGGAGGAACACCAGUGGCGAAGGCGGCUUACUGGACUGUAACUGACGUUGAGGAGCGAAAGCGUGGGGAGCAAACAGGAUUAGAUACCCCAGUAGUC
This 440-nucleotide ribosomal RNA is filed under the name uncultured bacterium. RNAcentral describes it as "partial 16S ribosomal RNA". It matches the Rfam family "Bacterial small subunit ribosomal RNA", at positions 338 to 795 of the family's 1533-position model. The record is from RNAcentral.